CAGAACCACAGAGAGAUGAUGAAGCUGCUGCCAGGCCCCAGCCGGGCCAAUCCCAACCAUCUGAGGGGACAUUCCCCACCCGCUGAAGCUCGGGCCCCUGGACCCUACCUGGCAGGGCGUGCAGGUUACCCUGGCAGACUGUUUCCACGGGUUGGCGUAAUGAAAACGAGCAUCUCAGUUGUACAGCACAGACAACUCGGCCCCCAGUGCUAACAGUGGCCUGGACUCAUCACGGGCCCUCCACUCUGAGAGCCUCGGGAGGCUUCCAUCCUUCUUUCUGCUGCUGAAGUCAGGUUGGUAUUAUUCUCCUCCAUGAGGUCUUUCUCGUCAUCAAACACCCUUAGCUUUUUGCAGCUCUUCAUCCCCUUUCCCAGCCUGGAUAGAUGCACAUCUUUCCUUUUCCAGUGCCCAGGCAGAUGAAUGUCUGGUUACUUGAUAAUGGGCCUGGAUUUGGGGCUGUUUAUAAGCUCAUAUGUUCACCAUUCACUUCUUGCCCAUAUUCCAGGCCCAGACCUUGGCCCAAUGGUACCCCCACCCCUGGAAUCCCUUGGAAAUUACACACCGUUGGUUCCCCCUGUUGCAAAAACACAACACAGCUUUAAAACCACAGUGCCCCCAGAGGCCACACGAAGGUGCUGUCUGCAUCCUCAGGCCAGGAGUCUGUUCCCUCCUCUCUAGUAAUAUUCACGCUGUGAGCACCAUGCCUAGCGCUUCACGGAUGCGGCUUUACUAGAUCCUUACAACAACUAUGAGGAUUAUACUAAAAUUACACCAUCAGUGGCCGGGGUCCUGAGGCUCUGGUGGCUGAGGCUGGUUGAAAUCUGAUGCUCAAAUCUGACGUUCUUGGCUCAUGCCCAGUUCCUCCCCCUGCUCCACACUGCUUUCUGAGCUCCUGGUGACUGAGCCACGCUUUUCAGCAGCUGCCCACUUGAGGCUUUUAGUGCAUAAGCCCCUCACUCGCUCAGCACUUCAUGUCACCUGCCUGUGCUGAAUCCUGGGUGGGGACAGAGACAAGUGCAGGGAGGCACCACUCGGCCCUGCUGCUGAGGAGAACCCGCCUGGAGGGAAGACACGCAGAACAAGCAGUUUCAUUUGAGUUUAACCUGGAGUUGGGGUGACAGCCCCCUCGCACUCCCACGUAGCCUGAUGGGUUUGCCUUCCCCUCUCCCACGGCACACCGAGUGUACACGUACAGGAGCCGGCUGGCUUCAGGCUGGUUGCAGCGAGAGCUGCAAGAGAGGACGCAGCCACCUGAACCAUUUGGGCCCCCAGGAAGAGCCUGCAGGUCCUGUCCCUGUGGGGUGGGUGUCUGGAGCUGCCCCAGCUGCCAGGAGCACCCACGGUUGGUACCAAGGUGCUCGGGCUCGGGGUCCAGGCCAGACACCUGGGGAGCCCUGGAUGUCGCCCCAGUGUCACAGAACAGACCCCCUCCCACGUCUCCCUCCCCUCUUUCCUCUUCUCUGUAGUCUGAGGUCAUCAGCCCAGCCCAGCCAACACCAUUUUCCCCUGCCCCACCCGGCACCGUUCCCCUGUGCUCAGUCUCAGGCCACAGGCCCCAGACCCACAGUCUGCACCGCAAUCCGGAGGAGCUUCCGAAACAAUCUGAUUACACUUUCUCCCUUUGGUGGUCUCAUUGUCUCGGGGGAUGAAGUCCAGUCCCCCGAUCUCUGUCCAGGGUCCUCUGUGCUCCUGCCCUCACUGGCCUCUUUCCCCACCCAGCCUCCACCUGGGCUCCUCCACCACCUCUGAUGCCCACUGCUGUCUGACCUCCAGGCCCCUGCCCCUUCUGGGCUCUCUGCCUGAGACUCCUUUCCUGCCUUGUCUCCUAUCAGCUCCUCCUUAACUCUUCAGGGCCCAGCUGAUAUGCCGCCUUCUGGGGGGGCGGGUGGCAUGGGGGGGCAGGAGGGGUCUUCUUUGACCCACCCAGGGCUGCCUGUGACCACCAAACCCUCUCCAUGCUGUGCUGUCAUCCUGGCAGGAACUGGAGUGGUUUAACAUCUGGAUCCCACAAACGGAACUCCAUCAGGACUGUCUGGCUGAGCUCAGGGCGGGCCUGAAGAAGGGAUGGGCCCUGCUGUGUCCAGGCUGAGAGGCUGGGAAGGUGGAGCGGGCGGGGCUGUCUGCCCCAGAAGGAGCACCGUCACACUGUGUUAGGAGUCAGGCGUGGCUGAGCCCUGGCUGUGACGACAGCUCUGGAGAAAGGAUUUGGGAGGAGAGGAGAGGGUCUGUUCUAUUCACGCCUUGCUGCCGUCCAAGCAGAACUGGCCUGUGUUCCGUGGGGUGGCCAUAGCUCCGUUAUGGGUCAGAGGUAAAUGCAGCCUCGCUUCAUAAAAGGCUUCCUGAGAUAAAUUCUUAAACCUUCGGGUCUGUGUGGCUCAUCCCCAGCGCUGGCUAAUCAGGGUUGGGAUCUGCUGGGACAGGGCUACUGGGUGGUGGUGAGUGUCCCUCUUCAGCUGCCCUGGGUCCUCCUCACUUCUGCUGUGGCCCCAGAAACCCUUUUCGGCAAGUUCCCUCCCCAGCCCUGCCUGCAGUGGUAGGUGUGACUUUUCUGCCUUCCCUGGGCUGGUCACAGGAAUGUUUUUUGUCCCCAUUCAGGCAUCGAUGGAUUUGAGGGGGCUGGCAGCCCAGAGGGCCGAUGGGUAGCGGUGGCCACCACAGCGGUUCUCCAAGAUGUGGUAGAUCCGAGCACCUCGGUCCUUCCUGCCUGCUAUCCUGGCCCUUCACAACUCUCCUAGGUCCCCUGUCCAGAGCCCCUCCACCUGCCUCUCCUUCCACGGUGCCCUGGACAUAAGGAGCCUCAGGUGCCGCCCACCUGCCCUGCUGCUGCGUGCAGUCCCUGCAUCCACGCACAGAAGCUGCUGACGCAGUUGACACAACGGGGAUUGCCACCAGUGGAGCUGGUUUCUAAAGCUCUGUGGUUAAUUAUUUUGUCUCAGUGAAAUGAAAGGAGAGUAAACAAACAACAGCACAUUAAUGAGUCUGAUCUACACUUUCUCCACGAAAGAGGAGAGCAAAGUUAAACAUUGGAGGCUGGCAGCUUCUCAGAGAACCCGAGAGUCCUCGGAGGGCUGGCAGGGCAGGAUGUGGUGCACAGGCGCCCAGCCUGGCCCCCAGUCCCGGCCUUUUCUCUCGCCUGGCCCGGCCCGGGUUCCGUCUCCCAGGGAGGAGCACCUGCCCCUCCUCCCCGCCGCAGUUCUCUGCUUCCGUGUCCUGGGGUUGGCACCUUUGCCAAGCAAAGUCCAGUCAACCCUGCAGGCAGGAUUGCUCUUUCAGGUUCCUAUUUUAAAGCCAACCAUCACCCUCGGGCUUAUCCCUAUUGUGGAUCCUGGUGUGUGGCUUCUAGGGUUGCUUGGGAUGACCUCUGCCCCAAUACCAUCGUUUCCAGAGCUGGCCUGGAGUCCCAGACACCCUCAGGUCCUGGGCUCAGGAGUGGGGGUCUACACAGUGCCCAAGAGAGGGCUCCCAGGACUCAAAUGCUCUGUUCUAGAAGCAGAGACCACAGACUCACUCCCUCACCCCCCCGGCUGCAUUGCUCAAUGCUCAGCAUGGGCUCAAAGGUCAGGCUGACCUGAAUGAAAUCCUGGCACUGGCGUCAGGCUCACUGAGCCUCUGUCUCUUCACGGAAGUAACAAUACCUGCCUCCCAGGACUAUCACGAGGAUUAAAGGGGGCCAGGCUGCUAACAUGGCUGGCCCUGUUUCCUUCCCUACCUCCCCCGCUCCUUGCAGGGCCUCCCUGACCACCCCUCCCCUGAGGCUGGCCCUUGUGUGCCCUGUUUGUUC
Long non-coding RNA from Physeter macrocephalus (sperm whale), 3781 nucleotides. RefSeq lists it as uncharacterized. The record is from RefSeq and is a predicted model, not a curated record. NCBI's taxonomy places the organism in Eukaryota, Metazoa, Chordata, Mammalia, Artiodactyla, Physeteridae. The transcript is spliced from 4 exons.